Molecule: ribosomal RNA, 184 nt
Filed under: uncultured Staphylococcus sp.
Lineage: Bacteria; Bacillati; Bacillota; Bacilli; Caryophanales; Staphylococcaceae
Description: partial 16S ribosomal RNA
Rfam family: Bacterial small subunit ribosomal RNA
Source: RNAcentral
CCUACGGGAGGCAGCAGUAGGGAAUCUUCCGCAAUGGGCGAAAGCCUGACGGAGCAACGCCGCGUGAGUGAUGAAGGUCUUCGGGAUCGUAAAACUCUGUUAUUAGGGAAGAACAACGUGUAAGUAACUGUGCACGUCUUGACGGUACCUAAUCAGAAAGCCACGGCUAACUACGUGCCAGCAG